AGAGUUUGAUCCUGGCUCAGAACGAACGUUAGCGGCGCGCCUAACACAUGCAAGUCGCACGAGAAGGGGCUUCGGCCUCGGUAAAGUGGCGCACGGGUGAGUAACACGUGGGUAACGUUCCCUCGGGCGGGGGAUAACCUUCCGAAAGGAGGGCUAAUACCGCAUAACAUCGCGAUCCCGCAGGGGAUUGCGAUCAAAGC
RNAcentral lists this ribosomal RNA (200 nucleotides) under uncultured bacterium. RNAcentral describes it as "partial 16S ribosomal RNA". It matches the Rfam family "Bacterial small subunit ribosomal RNA", at positions 8 to 207 of the family's 1533-position model. The record is from RNAcentral.